This 445-nucleotide ribosomal RNA is filed under the name uncultured bacterium. RNAcentral's name for it is "bacterial SSU rRNA". It matches the Rfam family "Bacterial small subunit ribosomal RNA", at positions 330 to 792 of the family's 1533-position model. The record is from RNAcentral.
CCCAGACUCCUACGGGAGGCAGCAGUCGGGAAUAUUGCGCAAUGGAGGAAACUCUGACGCAGUGACGCCGCGUAUAGGAAGAAGGUUUUCGGAUUGUAAACUAUUGUCGUUAGGGAAGAUAAAAGACAGUACCUAAGGAGGAAGCUCCGGCUAACUACGUGCCAGCAGCCGCGGUAAUACGUAGGGAGCAAGCGUUAUCCGGAUUUAUUGGGUUUAAAGGGUGCGUAGGCGGUCCGGAAAGUCAGCGGUAAACGCCCGGGGCACAACCCCGGCGAGCCGUUGAAACUGUCGGACUAGAGACGGCGAGAAGUACGCGGAAUGCGCGGUGUAGCGGUGAAAUGCAUAGAUAUCGCGCAGAACUCCGAUUGCGAAGGCAGCAUGCCGGCUCCACACUGACGCUGAGGCACGAAAGCGUGGGUAUCGAACAGGAUUAGAUACCCGAGUA